RNAcentral lists this ribosomal RNA (200 nucleotides) under uncultured bacterium. RNAcentral describes it as "partial 16S ribosomal RNA". It matches the Rfam family "Bacterial small subunit ribosomal RNA", at positions 335 to 527 of the family's 1533-position model. The record is from RNAcentral.
CAUGUACGGGAGGCAGCAGGNGGGGAAUUUGGACAAUGGGCGAAAGCCUGAUCCAGCAAUGCCGCGUGUGUGAUGAAGGCCUUCGGGUUGUAAAGCACUUUUGGCGGGAACGAAAAGGACUGUGCCAAUACCACGGUUCGAUGACGGUACCCGCAGAAUAAGCACCGGCUAACUACGUGCCAGCAGCCGCGGUAAUCAUG